CACCAACUGAGGCCUAUUAAGCAUGUUGCUUUUGACUGGCCUGUAACUGGAAGGCGUUUCUAUGGCUGCCCAGUGCAGGAAAAUGGUGUGAAUUGUGGUGUUGUAGAGUGGGUUGAUGGGCCUUGGCCUAUUGUUCUUCAAAGAUGUUUGUGCAAGCUAUGGGAAAUGUUCCAUGAGCAGAACUGUGGAAGGGUACUUGACAAGGAGAAGUUUGAGAAGGAGUUGGCCAAGCUUAAGACUGAAAAUGACAAGCUUUGCAUUGAGUACACCAAGCUUAUUGAUGAUGUAUCCAAGAUGUUUGAUUGGAAGGAUGGUAGGGUGGACAAGAAUGUGCACCAAAAACAAGUGGAGGAGGAAGAACUUGAGAAGAAGAAGAAGGAGCUAGAGGAGAAAGCUAUGUUGGAGGUGAAGAUGGAAAAGCUUAAACUUGCAAAAGAGCAAAGGUGCAUUUUGCAGAGCCAAGCUGAUAUCAUCAAGAACACCAGGAAGGCUAUGAAGGAUGUUCAAGUUGACAGAGAUGUUCUUAUGAAGGAGAAGGAAAAGCUUGAGCUAGUUGUUGCCGAGCUGCUGAAAGAUGGGUAUGCCAGCAAGGAGAAGUUAGAGCAAAUCAAGGCCAUCCUUGAGUCCUGA
RNAcentral lists this ribosomal RNA (630 nucleotides) under Triticum aestivum (bread wheat). RNAcentral describes it as "partial small subunit ribosomal RNA". Lineage: Eukaryota; Viridiplantae; Streptophyta; Magnoliopsida; Poales; Poaceae. The record is from RNAcentral.